AGGACGAACGCUGGCGGCGUGCUUAACACAUGCAAGUCGAGCGGAAAGGCCCUUCGGGGUACUCGAGCGGCGAACGGGUGAGUAACACGUGAGGAACCUGCCCUGGACUUUGGGAUAACCCUCGGAAACGGGGGCUAAUACCGAAUACGACACGGUCUCGCAUGAGAUCCGUGUGGAAAGUUUUUCGGUCUGGGAUGGUCUCGCGGCCUAUCAGCUUGUUGGUGGGGUAAUGGCCUACCAAGGCGACGACGGGUAG
This 256-nucleotide ribosomal RNA is filed under the name uncultured bacterium. Its description in RNAcentral is "partial small subunit ribosomal RNA". It matches the Rfam family "Bacterial small subunit ribosomal RNA", at positions 26 to 286 of the family's 1533-position model. The record is from RNAcentral.